Molecule: non-coding RNA, 2307 nt
Organism: Benincasa hispida (wax gourd)
Lineage: Eukaryota; Viridiplantae; Streptophyta; Magnoliopsida; Cucurbitales; Cucurbitaceae
Source: RefSeq, a predicted model, not a curated record
CACAAUUCCCAGCUGCGCGCCACACGUUUCCCCUUUUUCGUUCCCUCUCGUUCCCUCUCGUUUUCGUUCUCUCUUGUUUUCUCCGGCCAAUCUAUUUUGGUUUUCCCUCUUCGUUCUCCGGCCAGUCUCACAAAAAAUUAAUUCCCAGCUGCGUCGUUUUCCCUCUUUCGUUUUCUCAUUCCUCUGAAGUCAAUCGUCUGCAUCAUCUUCUCAAUCCAGCUCCUCUCGGCCCUUUCUCCAAAUUUACCACAUUUCCAUGUCUCCCAUCGUCUCCAAUGCCUCCGCGUGUUCUCUGAAAUUCCAGCACCCUCUUCGUAUUCUCUGAAGUUCGAGCAUCCUGAUUCAAGCAUCUCAUGUUCAAGCAUUCUGAUUCUAGAAAUAUUUCUAGUAUUUCGAGAAAUCUAUGGGGUAAAUAGCUAGGUUUCUAUUUUCUUUUCUUCAUUUACUCUUGGUUGCAAUUUUCCUCUUCUGUCCUCCUAUUGAUGUCGAGUAGAAGGUUAUCUAGGUUUGAUUGUAAAGAGUUGGUUGAUUAAAUUUCUUGAUUUCUUUUUAACUAGAAAUUUCUAGAUUUCUUGGUCUCAUUGAUUUGGGUUUAGAUGGAUUCGACGUCCUUAAGAACUAAAGUCGUUCUCUCUGGUUUGUCCCUUCUACCCAUAAGUUCAAACCAGUUGGGUGGGUGAGACUAUAUUUGUAGCAAAAGCUCGCUCACUAACUGAGUAACUGUACUCUUGUGCUGGGUAAACUUAAUUCUUGCACAUGGGUAAACUUACAUUGCACAAAUUCUUGUUUGAUAGGAUGUUCCUACAGUUAACACAUGGGUAAACUUACAUUGGGCAGAUUUUUUCACUGCUUCACUGUUUGAUUGCUUUAAUUAGUUACCUAUCACGUCCGUCAAUUGAACUUUGUUCAUCUUUGUCAUGGGCGGGGUAGGUAAUUCAAUAAUAUGUUGUCUUCUCAAUCUUACCAUGGUUCGUUAAUCUAGUCAUUUAUUCUUUAUUAGAGUGAAGUUAUGGUCCUUUGUUUUCUUUUACUUUUUUUCUCCAUCGAUUAUGUUCUUGGCUUUUGAUCAGAAAUGAAAUUGGUCAUGGUCUCUUGGGGUGUCAAUUGCUUCUAUAAUUGGAUUGGUUAUUGUGGUUAAUUUUUACAAGAUUUUAAAGUACUCCUUCAAUGUUCUAAUUGCUUCUAGAUGCUCAUUGUGUAUUAUCUCAAAUCGUUAUCCUCCAACAUUCGUUAGAUGUGUAUUAUCUAGGUUUUGAAGAUUUUGUGAAGCCCUCACCCAAUUCAAACUUCAGCUGCAAAUAGGUUUACUCCUCCUAAGGACUCUCAUGCAUAGAAGAUGACUGCAUGACAUGCAACUAGUUAUUGAAGUCAAACUAGGGUUUGGUGUGAGCUAGUUGAAGUUGCACAACAAAGGGCAAGAUGGCAUGUCCAAUUUGUGGGGAGCACACACAUUCCCAAUGGUUGUACUAUAGUAAGAAAUUAGUGUAUACGGGACAUAGACGUUUUUUUCCUUCAUCUCAUGCGUAUAGAAGAAAGAAGUCAUGGUUUGAUGGCAAAGUUAAACAACGACAAGCUUCUAGGAUUGCAAAUGGAAAUGAAAUUGAUGCCCAACUUAAAGAUUUCCAAAAUUGUAUUGGAAAAUUCGAGAAGAAAACACGAAAGAGACAAAAAGAGUUGAAUGGAAUGUGGAAGAAACGAUCAAUCUUAUUUGACUUACCAUAUUGGAAGGAACUUGUAUUACAUCACAACUUGGAUGUCAUGCAUGUUGAGAAAAAUGUAUGCGAGAGCAUAAUAGGCACAUUGUUGGAUAUUAAUGGAAAAUCAAAAGAUGGAUACAAUGCUCGAAAAGAUCUGCAAGACAUGAAUAUAUGACAUGACAUACACCCAGAAGAACGCGGGAGUCGAAUAUACCUUCCUCCAACUCUAAACACUUUGUCCAAAUUAGAGAAACAAUUGUUCUGCAAGCAAUUACAUGAGUUGAAAUUACCUGAUGGUUACAGUUCAAGCAUUUCGAACUGUGUGUCAGUGGAGGAAUGCAAAGUAAUAGGAUUAAAAUCUCAUGACUAUCACGUGUUAAUGUAAUAACUUCUACCAGUUGUCAUUAGAGGAAUGCUUCUGAAGGGUCCAAGACAUUCAAUAACAUGAAUGUGUGCAUUCUUUAAUAAAAUUUGCCAACGUGUAAUUGAUCGAGAAUGUAUAUUGGAAACUGAAAAGGAGGUAAUUGAUACAUUGUGCUUCCUCCUUCCUUCUUUGACAUCAUGACUCAUUUAAUCAUUCAUUUGGGGUAUGAAGUUCGUUUAUGUGGAU